RNAcentral lists this ribosomal RNA (2903 nucleotides) under Escherichia coli. RNAcentral describes it as "bacterial LSU rRNA". It matches the Rfam family "Bacterial large subunit ribosomal RNA". Lineage: Bacteria; Pseudomonadati; Pseudomonadota; Gammaproteobacteria; Enterobacterales; Enterobacteriaceae. The record is from RNAcentral.
UUAAGCGACUAAGCGUACACGGUGGAUGCCCUGGCAGUCAGAGGCGAUGAAGGACGUGCUAAUCUGCGAUAAGCGUCGGUAAGGUGAUAUGAACCGUUAUAACCGGCGAUUUCCGAAUGGGGAAACCCAGUGUGUUUCGACACACUAUCAUUAACUGAAUUCAUAGGUUAAUGAGGCGAACCGGGGGAACUGAAACAUCUAAGUACCCCGAGGAAAAGAAAUCAACCGAGAUUCCCCCAGUAGCGGCGAGCGAACGGGGAGCAGCCCAGAGCCUGAAUCAGUGUGUGUGUUAGUGGAAGCGUCUGGAAAGGCGCGCGAUACAGGGUGACAGCCCCGUACACAAAAAUGCACAUGCUGUGAGCUCGAUGAGUAGGGCGGGACACGUGGUAUCCUGUCUGAAUAUGGGGGGACCAUCCUCCAAGGCUAAAUACUCCUGACUGACCGAUAGUGAACCAGUACCGUGAGGGAAAGGCGAAAAGAACCCCGGCGAGGGGAGUGAAAAAGAACCUGAAACCGUGUACGUACAAGCAGUGGGAGCACGCUUAGGCGUGUGACUGCGUACCUUUUGUAUAAUGGGUCAGCGACUUAUAUUCUGUAGCAAGGUUAACCGAAUAGGGGAGCCGAAGGGAAACCGAGUCUUAACUGGGCGUUAAGUUGCAGGGUAUAGACCCGAAACCCGGUGAUCUAGCCAUGGGCAGGUUGAAGGUUGGGUAACACUAACUGGAGGACCGAACCGACUAAUGUUGAAAAAUUAGCGGAUGACUUGUGGCUGGGGGUGAAAGGCCAAUCAAACCGGGAGAUAGCUGGUUCUCCCCGAAAGCUAUUUAGGUAGCGCCUCGUGAAUUCAUCUCCGGGGGUAGAGCACUGUUUCGGCAAGGGGGUCAUCCCGACUUACCAACCCGAUGCAAACUGCGAAUACCGGAGAAUGUUAUCACGGGAGACACACGGCGGGUGCUAACGUCCGUCGUGAAGAGGGAAACAACCCAGACCGCCAGCUAAGGUCCCAAAGUCAUGGUUAAGUGGGAAACGAUGUGGGAAGGCCCAGACAGCCAGGAUGUUGGCUUAGAAGCAGCCAUCAUUUAAAGAAAGCGUAAUAGCUCACUGGUCGAGUCGGCCUGCGCGGAAGAUGUAACGGGGCUAAACCAUGCACCGAAGCUGCGGCAGCGACACUAUGUGUUGUUGGGUAGGGGAGCGUUCUGUAAGCCUGUGAAGGUGUACUGUGAGGUAUGCUGGAGGUAUCAGAAGUGCGAAUGCUGACAUAAGUAACGAUAAAGCGGGUGAAAAGCCCGCUCGCCGGAAGACCAAGGGUUCCUGUCCAACGUUAAUCGGGGCAGGGUGAGUCGACCCCUAAGGCGAGGCCGAAAGGCGUAGUCGAUGGGAAACAGGUUAAUAUUCCUGUACUUGGUGUUACUGCGAAGGGGGGACGGAGAAGGCUAUGUUGGCCGGGCGACGGUUGUCCCGGUUUAAGCGUGUAGGCUGGUUUUCCAGGCAAAUCCGGAAAAUCAAGGCUGAGGCGUGAUGACGAGGCACUACGGUGCUGAAGCAACAAAUGCCCUGCUUCCAGGAAAAGCCUCUAAGCAUCAGGUAACAUCAAAUCGUACCCCAAACCGACACAGGUGGUCAGGUAGAGAAUACCAAGGCGCUUGAGAGAACUCGGGUGAAGGAACUAGGCAAAAUGGUGCCGUAACUUCGGGAGAAGGCACGCUGAUAUGUAGGUGAAGUCCCUCGCGGAUGGAGCUGAAAUCAGUCGAAGAUACCAGCUGGCUGCAACUGUUUAUUAAAAACACAGCACUGUGCAAACACGAAAGUGGACGUAUACGGUGUGACGCCUGCCCGGUGCCGGAAGGUUAAUUGAUGGGGUUAGCCGCAAGGCGAAGCUCUUGAUCGAAGCCCCGGUAAACGGCGGCCGUAACUAUAACGGUCCUAAGGUAGCGAAAUUCCUUGUCGGGUAAGUUCCGACCUGCACGAAUGGCGUAAUGAUGGCCAGGCUGUCUCCACCCGAGACUCAGUGAAAUUGAACUCGCUGUGAAGAUGCAGUGUACCCGCGGCAAGACGGAAAGACCCCGUGAACCUUUACUAUAGCUUGACACUGAACAUUGAGCCUUGAUGUGUAGGAUAGGUGGGAGGCUUUGAAGUGUGGACGCCAGUCUGCAUGGAGCCGACCUUGAAAUACCACCCUUUAAUGUUUGAUGUUCUAACGUGGACCCGUAAUCCGGGUUGCGGACAGUGUCUGGUGGGUAGUUUGACUGGGGCGGUCUCCUCCUAAAGAGUAACGGAGGAGCACGAAGGUUGGCUAAUCCUGGUCGGACAUCAGGAGGUUAGUGCAAUGGCAUAAGCCAGCUUGACUGCGAGCGUGACGGCGCGAGCAGGUGCGAAAGCAGGUCAUAGUGAUCCGGUGGUUCUGAAUGGAAGGGCCAUCGCUCAACGGAUAAAAGGUACUCCGGGGAUAACAGGCUGAUACCGCCCAAGAGUUCAUAUCGACGGCGGUGUUUGGCACCUCGAUGUCGGCUCAUCACAUCCUGGGGCUGAAGUAGGUCCCAAGGGUAUGGCUGUUCGCCAUUUAAAGUGGUACGCGAGCUGGGUUUAGAACGUCGUGAGACAGUUCGGUCCCUAUCUGCCGUGGGCGCUGGAGAACUGAGGGGGGCUGCUCCUAGUACGAGAGGACCGGAGUGGACGCAUCACUGGUGUUCGGGUUGUCAUGCCAAUGGCACUGCCCGGUAGCUAAAUGCGGAAGAGAUAAGUGCUGAAAGCAUCUAAGCACGAAACUUGCCCCGAGAUGAGUUCUCCCUGACUCCUUGAGAGUCCUGAAGGAACGUUGAAGACGACGACGUUGAUAGGCCGGGUGUGUAAGCGCAGCGAUGCGUUGAGCUAACCGGUACUAAUGAACCGUGAGGCUUAACCUU